CCUACGUGAGGCAGCAGUGGGGAAUAUUGCACAAUGGGGGAAACCCUGAUGCAGCGACACCGCGUGAGUGAAGAAGUAUUUCGGUAUGUAAAGCUCUAUCAGCAGGGAAGAAAAAAGACGGUACCUGACUAAGAAGCCCCGGCUAACUACGUGCCAGCAGCCGCGGUAAUACGUAGGGGGCAAGCGUUAUCCGGAUUUACUGGGUGUAAAGGGAGCGUAGACGGCGCGGCAAGUCUGAAGUGAAAGGCAGGGUCUUAACCCCUGAACUGCUUUGGAAACUGCCAUGCUAGAGUGCUGGAGAGGUAAGUGGAAUUCCUAGUGUAGCGGUGAAAUGCGUAGAUAUUAGGAGGAACACCAGUGGCGAAGGCGGCUUACUGGACAGUAACUGACGUUGAGGCUCGAAAGCGUGGGGAGCAAACAGGAUUAGAUACCCCAGUAGUC
Molecule: ribosomal RNA, 441 nt
Filed under: uncultured bacterium
Lineage: Bacteria
Description: partial 16S ribosomal RNA
Rfam family: Bacterial small subunit ribosomal RNA
Source: RNAcentral